AUUGAACGCUGGCGGCAGGCCUAACACAUGCAAGUCGAGCGGUAGAGAGGUGCUUGCAUCUCUUGAGAGCGGCGGACGGGUGAGUAAUGCCUAGGAAUCUGCCUAGUGGUGGGGGAUAACGUUCGGAAACGGACGCUAAUACCGCAUACGUCCUACGGGAGAAAGCGGGGGGAUCUUCGGACCUCGCGCCAUUAGAUGAGCCUAGGUCGGAUUAGCUAGUUGGUGAGGUAAUGGCUCACCAAGGCGACGAUCCGUAACUGGUCUGAGAGGAUGAUCAGUCACACUGGAACUGAGACACGGUCCAGACUCCUACGGAGGCAGCAGUGGGGAAUAUUGGACAAUGGGCGAAAGGACCUGAUCCAGCCAUGCCGCGUGUGUGAAGAAGGUCUUCGGAUUGU
This 398-nucleotide ribosomal RNA is filed under the name uncultured bacterium. RNAcentral's name for it is "bacterial SSU rRNA". It matches the Rfam family "Bacterial small subunit ribosomal RNA", at positions 30 to 426 of the family's 1533-position model. The record is from RNAcentral.